RNAcentral lists this ribosomal RNA (508 nucleotides) under uncultured bacterium. RNAcentral's name for it is "partial 16S ribosomal RNA". It matches the Rfam family "Bacterial small subunit ribosomal RNA", at positions 28 to 507 of the family's 1533-position model. The record is from RNAcentral.
GACGAACGCUGGCGGCGUGCCUAAUACAUGCAAGUCGAACGCUUCUUUCCUCCCGAGUGCUUGCACUCAAUUGGAAAGAGGAGUGGCGGACGGGUGAGUAACACGUGGGUAACCUACCCAUCAGAGGGGGAUAACACUUGGAAACAGGUGCUAAUACCGCAUAACAGUUUAUGCCGCAUGGCAUAAGAGUGCAAGGCGCUUUCGGGUGUCGCUGAUGGAUGGACCCGCGGUGCAUUAGCUAGUUGGUGAGGUAACGGCUCACCAAGGCCACGAUGCAUAGCCGACCUGAGAGGGUGAUCGGCCACACUGGGACUGAGACACGGCCCAGACUCCUACGGGAGGCAGCAGUAGGGAAUCUUCGGCAAUGGACGAAAGUCUGACCGAGCAACGCCGCGUGAGUGAAGAAGGUUUUCGGAUCGUAAAACUCUGUUGUUAGAGAAGAACAAGGACGUUAGUAACUGAACGUCCCCUGACGGUAUCUAACCAGAAAGCCACGGCUAACUACGUG